This 71-nucleotide transfer RNA is filed under the name archaeon. RNAcentral's name for it is "tRNA-Gly". It matches the Rfam family "tRNA". Rfam says of the family: Transfer RNA (tRNA) molecules are approximately 80 nucleotides in length. Their secondary structure includes four short double-helical elements and three loops (D, anti-codon, and T loops). The record is from RNAcentral.
GCGACCGUAGUGUAGUGGUAACAUUAGACCCUUCCAAGGUCUCGUCCUGGGUUCGAAUCCCAGCGGUCGCA